Molecule: long non-coding RNA, 408 nt
Filed under: Corvus moneduloides (New Caledonian crow)
Lineage: Eukaryota; Metazoa; Chordata; Aves; Passeriformes; Corvidae
Description: lncRNA (ENSCMUG00000019277.1)
Source: RNAcentral
UCCAGGUUCACUGACACACACCCAUGUUCCCUGACAGCCUCCCAAGGGAAUGCUGCAUCUGUGGCAGCAACACCACGUCUCUGUGCAGGCUCACUACUGCAAAAACAGAAGGGAUGAGGUUCCAUGGAGGUGGUUUACAAGGUGAGAGAGGAUGGCAGAACAAGGUAAAGAAAAGUGCUAAUACCAGUUUUGUUGUUUAAUAUUCAUCUUUGCUCUGUUUCAGAACUUUUGCAUAGCAGUGGCUCUGUAUGAGAAUUUCUGGUUAUGGCUGUGAAAAUAUUGCUGCUACUUUUUUAUAUCUACUUCGUGGGAGUUUAGCUGGUCUCAGACAACACUGGCUGCAAUCUUUUCAUCUCAACAGAUUCGCUGUGGGAAAGCUAUUGGCACAAAACUGAUUUCUGUGUUUCA